UGAGGAAGAGCAUGUGCUCGCGCCAGGAGUGGUGGCUGUUAGGGGAGGGACCUCAGACCUAUGUCUGCAUGGCCUGAGGUCAGAGUUCACAUCCUACUGAUUGAAGACCUUGUUCUUGAGCUGUCCGGUUGCCACAGGGUCGGACCUGGAGGCUGCAGACCAUCGUGGCCCUUUGCAGUGUUCGGAAACAUAUGCGCACCCCAGGGAGGGACACACACACACACACACACACACACACACACACACACACACACGCAAACUCACAAACACAACACACAGACAGAAAAUGACAAAUAAACACACACACUCACACACACACACACAGGAGCCCACAGAAAAAAGCAAAUAGACGCAGAAACGGGCACGUGCAGUAGUUCUGGCCACACAUGUUCCCUAGGUAUCCACAGAAUGGCAUGGGUAUUGUAUAUUCAUAAAGAUGGAGAUCAGUCAUGGAGGCCAAGGACAAGUAGGUGCACUGGUUGAACUACAGUAGAGAAUGGCAUGGAAGUGGUGAGCAAUGGACCUGGGCCUGUUUCUCAAGUGUGUAUUUGAUUUCUUUACAAUUCCCCGGAGAAGUUGUCAUGGGAGGCCAGCCGCCUGCUGGCAAGGAAGAUGGUUGAUUCUUCUGAUCAAUGGAGGCCCUGCAGAGUCCUGUAGUCACUGUGGCCUGGCAUCCAUGGUGCACCCAAUGCUGGUGGAUGGCUUAGGACGAGGCAGUUGCUGUGGGAGGUGUGGUAACUGCUGGAAGGAAGAUGCUCAAUUCUUCUGAGCAACGAAGGCCACACGGAGUCCUGGAUUCUGUGUGGCCUGGCAUCCAUGGCGCACUGUGUGCUGGCAGGUGGCUCAGGACGGGGCAGUUAUCAUGGGACACCCGCCAUAUGCUGGCAAGGAAGAUGGUCAGUUCUUCUGAGCCACAAAGGCCCCCAACAUCCUGGAGUUGGUGUUGCCUAGCAUCCACGGUGCGCCCCCUGCUGGUGGAUGGCUCAGGAUGGGGCAGUUGCCGUGGGAGGCCCGCUGCCUGCUGGAAGGAAGAUGGUCAGUUCUUCUGAACCACAAAGGCCCUGCAGAGUCCUGGAGUCUGUGUGGCCUGGCUUCCAGGGUUCACCUCAUGCUGGUGGAUUGCUCAGGAUGGGUGCCGAAGGUCUUUAAGGUCGUCAGCUCACCUACUGCCCAGCCUGUGGUGUCAAAUGUCCUGCCUCUUCAAAUGUGUUUGGAUCGAUGAUGAGUCCCCCCAAAAAAACAUUCCUUGGAAAAGCUGAACAAAAUGAGUGAAAACUCAUACCGUCGUUCUCAGCGGAACUGAGGUCCAGCGCGUUGCCUCCAGCAGGGACUGUUGGAGUGAGGGAGAGCUUCCACUAGUCCCUAUAGGUUCCACCACCCAGGGCAUCCGCAGGGACAGUUGCCGUGGGAGGUCCGCUGCCUGCUGUCAAGGAAGAUGGUCGAUGCUUCUGAGAAACAGGCCCUGCGGGUUCCUGGAUUUGGUGUGGCCUGGCAUCCACGGUGCACCCCGUGCUGGCGGGUGGCCCAGGACGGGGCAGUUGCCUUGAGAGGCCCACCGCCUGCUGGCAUGACAGAUGGUCAGUUCUUCCGAGCAGUGGAAUCUCCAUGGAGUCGUGGAGUCGGUGUGGCCUCGCAUCCACAGUGCACCCUGUGCUGGUGGAUGGCUCAGGACACAGCAGUUGUCAUGAGAGGUCUGCCGCUUGCUGGCAAGGAAGAUGGUCAAUUCUUCUGACCAACAGAGGCUGCCUUGAGUCCUGAUUUGGUGUGGCCUGGCAUCUAUGGUGCACCCAAUGCUGGGGCAGUUGCCGUGGGAGGCCUGCCGUCUGCUGAAAGGAAGAUGGUUGAUGCUUCUGAGCAAUGAAGGCCCCAUGGAGUCCUGGAUUCGGUGUGGCCUUGCAUCCGUGGUGCACCCCGUGCUGGUGGAUGGCUCAGGACGGGGCAGUUGCCAUGGGAGGCGCAGGCCUGCUGGAAGGAAGAUGGUCGAUUCUCCCAAGCAACAAAGGCCACGUAGAGUCCUGGUUUCAGUGUGGCCUGGUAUCCACAGUGCACCCCGUGCUGGUGGGUGGCUCAGGACGCACACUCAUUUCCUCUGCACCUUCCUGGUGUCAUUGGCAUGGAAGGAAGGCCCUUGUCCAAGAAGGAUGGUCUUCGUCUUGUGUGAUCUUUGAGAUGCCAUGAGGCCCCUGGAUACAAAUGGUGUGGGCUCCUUUGGAGGCUUUUGGAUUUCUCCUGAAUGUGGCGUUGGUAUGGAAGGAAGGCCAGUGACCGCAAGGGAUGACUUUGAUCUUGGGAGAUUUUUGGAGAUGGCAAAGUGCUUCUAAACAUGUUUGGCAUGGUCUCCUUCAGGCUGGUGGAUACCUCAGGAUGGUGGCGUUGGCAUGGAAGGAAGGACUGUGUCUGUGAGGGAUGAUCAUCCUCUCAUGUGAUCCUUGGAGAUGCCAGGAAGCCCCUUGACACAUGUGGCAUGGGCUCCUUCAGAGGCUUUUGGAUCCGUCGUGAAUGUGGCAUGGGCAUGCAAAGAAAGACAGAGGCUGCAAGGGAUAAACUUCAUCUUGGGAGAUCCCUGGAGAUGGCAGGGAACCCAUGGACACAUGUGGCAUGGGCUCCUUUGGGUGCCGGUGGAUCCCUUCAUACGGUAAAGCCAGAGUUGGGUAUCAACCAGAUACACUGCAGGGGAUCAGAGGACAUGGCCUUUGUGUACUGCACAUCUGUCAGAUUUUCUCAAGCACACCCGUGUUUCCUCUUCACCUCCCACGUGGAAGUGAUGAAUUGGCCAGGACCAUGUUGGUGAGGGACAAUCAUCAUCUCAUGUUAACCUCAGAGAAGCCAGGAAGCUCCUGGACACACAUGGUGUAGGCUUCCUUGGAGGCUGUUGGAUCUCUCCUGAAUGUAGUGUUGGUGUAAAAGGCAAACCCGUGUCAUGAGGGAUGGUCAUCAUCUUGUGUGAUCCUUGGAGAUGGCAGGAAGCCCUGGACAUACAUGGUGUGGGGGCUCCUCCAGAGGCUGUUGGGAUCCUCCUGGAUGUGGUGUGGGCAUGGAAGGAAGGCCAGUGGAGACAAUGGAUGAUCUUGUUCUUAGCAGAUCACUGGAUGUGGCAGGGAGUCCUAGGACAUGUGUGGUGUGGGCUUCUUCAGGUGCUGGUGGUGUUGGCAUGAGGAAAGGAGGUAUCUUCGAGGGACAAUCUUCUUCUUGUGCGAUCCUUGGAGAUGCCAUGAGGCCCCUGGACACAUGUGGUGUGGGCUCCUUUGGAGGCUGUUGUAUCCCUUCUGAAUGUGGCGUGGGCAUAGAAGGAAGGCCAGUGGCCACGAGGGACAAUCUUGGUCUUGGGAGAUCCUGGAAAUGAUAGGGAGUCCCUUGAUAUGUGUGGCAUGGGCUCCUUCAGGUGCUAGUGGAUUCCUUAGGAUGGUGGUGUUGGCAUGAAAGGCAGGCUUGUAUCAUGAGGAAUGAUUGUCAUCUUGUCUGAUUCUUGGAGAUGGCAGGAAGCCCCUGGAAACACAUGGUGUGGACUCUUUCACAGGCUGUUGAAACCCUCCUGAAUGUGAGGCCAGAGACAGGCAGACAGCAGAUGUAUUGCAGGGAGCUGGAUGACAUGGCCCUUGGAACCUGUGCACAUGCCUGCCUUUCUGAUGCACGUCCAUGUUUUCUCUGCACCUCCCCGGUGGUGUUGGUAUAAAAAGCAGGCUUACAUCAGCAAGGGAUGAUUGUCGUCUCAUGCGAUCCUGGGAGAUGGCAGAAGUCCCGGGACACAUGGAGUGUGGGCUCUUUCGGAGGCUGUUGGAUCCCUCCUGAAUGUGUUGUGGCCAUGGAAGUAAGGCCAGUGGCUACGAGGGACAGUCUUCAUCUUGGGAGAUCCCUAGAGAGGGCAGGGAGCCCCUUGACAUGUGGAAUGUGAUCUCUGUUGGGUGCUGGUGGAUCCCACAGGUGGUCUGGCAUGGAAGAAGGCCAGAGGCUGCGAUGGAUCAUCUUUGUCUUGGGAGAUUCCUGGAGAUGGUGGGGAGCCCCUGGGCACGUGCAGCAUAUGUGGCGUGGGCUUCUUCAGGUGCUGGUGGAUCCCUCAGGAUGCUUUUCAAGGUUUUUCUAUGAGUUCUGUUAAAGAGUCUGAAAAUGGAGCGUAGAAGACAUGCUUCGAUUUCCAGGAUGGUUGUGUUUUCCAGAGAGGCGGAGGUAAACCACUGGCGCAGCCCUGCCUCCCACAGAUAAUUCCGGGUGCAGUGUUUCAUAUCUAGACUUGGACUUCUAUCCUACCAUACUUCUUUGUGUGCAGUUCAUUGUGGAACCAGCACAGAUUUUCAUACGAAAGUUAUUUCUUUUUAACCUCAAAAAGUGACAGAAUGGAGUGUAUCAUGAAAAAGUCUGACAUCAAAACCUCAAAAUGUGAUAUUGAUUGGGUGAGAUAGAAUUCCAUGGAAUUUCAUUGCCAAACCAGUGAAGUGCUAAUUUUGACAUUUGUACCAGCUAACGUAGCUGUGAAGAAACACACCAAUACACUUCUAAGGACAGCAUAGACCAAGAUCUAGGUUUCAUAUGGAUGAAUUUAUUCUUCCCUUUGAGGCAAGACAAGAAGGAAAGAAAGUAUUGGGAAUAAUGCUGCCCUCCCAUCCUCAAGGGCCAGUGGGAACUCUAAUAUUGAUUGGGUGAGAUACAAUUCCAUGGAAUUUUACCACUGAACCAGUGGAGGGCUAAUUUUGUCAUUUGUACCAGUUAACUAACUUGGGAGGAAACAGAACAACACACUCCUGAGAUUGGUUUUCACAGAAUUCCAUGGACUUUAACUGCUGAACCAAUGAUGCACUGAUUUUGUCACUUGUACCAGCUAACGCAUCUGGGAGGCAACAAAACAAUACUCUCCUGAGGUUAAUGUGGACCAAAAACUAGAUUUCAUAUAAAAGAGUUUAUUCCUUCUACUUGAGGUGUGACAUGAAGGAAAGUAAUGGAAAUAAUUCUGCCCUCCCAUUCUCAAGGGCCAGGGGGAAUUCAAAUAUUGAACGGAAGUGAUUUUGGAAUUGCAUGGAAUUCUCACUGCCAUCCCAAAGAAAUGCUGAUCUUGUCACUCUUACCUGUUUCAUUCCCUGGGGGCAGAACAAAAGGACGCACUCCAAAGAUCGGCAUGAACCAAGAACUGGGUUUCAUAUAAAAUAUUUUAUUCUGUCCUCUUGAGAUGUGACAUGAGAAAAGUAUUGAGAAUACUUCUAUCACCUCAUCUUCAAGAAUCCGUAGGAAUUCUCCCAUGGUGGACUUUACGGUUAACCUGAACAGGUCUUGGAAAAAGGACUUUAAACAUUCUCCUGUUCUGUGGAAUAAGUAUACUUUUUUCUGGACAUACACCUUGUCAGUGAGUUCCAUGUGAUACUAGAGUUGCAUAGAUUUUUAACCUUUACGCCAAUGAAGAUCUGAGGCAAACAUUGCCCCUUUUUUAGAAGUUUGCAUUUGUCACUGAUAACUGUAAUAAUUGAUCUUGUUGAAAAGCCUGGGAAAUGAAGAUCUGAUAUGUCACUUUUACCGGCUUCCUCAACUGAAAAAGAAUACAAUGAAACACGCUGAGAAUUUUUGUGCUUUCUCAGUCUUGCUGAUGAUCUUUCUAUGGGCCUGAAGCGUGGAGAGUGCCAGAGAGGCUGAUCCUCAGCAGUGUGGCAGAGGAAAGUUGGGUGCGACUAAGGGGUAUGCGGUGCCCACAUGCCACUGGGUCCUCAGCAGUACCACCUGAUUGGAAGUGAUAUUGGUGGAAGACAACAUUUUGCCGCUUGGAAUUCUCACCUCCACACCAAAGAAGUACUGUUUUUGUCAUUUGCACCAGCUUCUUUCUCCAGGAAAGAUCAAAACGAUGCACUGCAAGUGUGAUUGGUCCAGAUAGCUGCCUUAUCCAACUGCCUCCUUUGGACCACUUCAUCAUGGGACAGCUUGAUGCAAUCUACUUGACAAGACCCUGGAACCCCACACCCCUCAUGGAACCAGUGUCCACCUCCCAGUCACAGUGUGACCCCAGGGAACUCUUGCCUGCUUGCUUUAAACCCACCACUUAAAAGUCUCCACAGAAAACCUGUUUGAAUAGUACCCUUGACCCAAUAAGGGCAUUGGCCCCUGGGUGUCUCUCUCUCUCUCUCUCUCUCUCUCUCCCUCUCUCUCCCUCUCUCUCUCUCGCUCCCUGACCUCUGCGUGUGGACUCCAGGCAUGCCAUAUACCCCUCAGGACCUGAAGCAAAAGAAUGAAUUAAAGAAAACUCCAGAGAAUGAGCUGACAACCUACUCCCUGGUCAGUGGCUCUCCAUGCCUACCUGUGGUCUCUUGGACACCCUUGCAGAAGAUGACUUCCUGGGAACUCUUCUGGGAGUGAAUGUUAUCAGCAAAUUCCCAAAACAACACCCCUUAGACAAAAAGCCUCCUCACCUAUGCAUUGCCUAGACCACCCACUAAAGGUGAUGGCCACAAAGAGGUGGAUUUGUUGAGUUGGUGCCAUUCCUUCUACUGCCAGCUUCACCAAAACAAUGACACAGUCUUCCUUCCGCAUGGAGACUCUUCUCUUUCCUGUGUUGCAGUGGAUGCCUCCUGCAGAUAAGAAAUGCUUAACUGAGAAAUGCUCAUGUUGGGAUAUCAUCGAUGAGACUUUAAUUUGGGCAUGGUGACUGUUUCCCUUGCUGCCACUUGACUCAAUCCCAGGAGCCUCAGUAGAGGAUAUAAUAUUACACAAGAUGCUCAAAAUGGUGGAAUUGCUCAGUGCUCCCAUAAAUAUACAUUUAUAAUUUUCAUUUGCCACAUGGUAAACUGAAAAAUACAGACUAUAUUAAAAAGAAACUGCAUGAUUUUUUUUCAAAAAUUCAAAGCAUAUUUAAAUAAUAUAUAAAUUAAAUGCCCUCCUCUCUUCCAAUUCUGUCCCUAUAGUUUUCCUCUAUUAAGUGAACUACAUGCAUUCUUUUAGUGGAUAGAUGCACACAAACACACAAGCCAUUAUGGGGAAGGAUCCACGUGUGUGGCCAUAUUGUAACACAUUUUUCUGCAAAUCACCUCUUUCAUUUAACAGCCCUUAUUCAAUGGCCUUUUUCUUUUUCAGUAGUACAUACACAUCUGUGUCAUUUGUUGAAUGACGACAUGAAUGUUUUGUAGAUAAAAUAUAAUUAAAUGUUUUAAGCAUUUCUCACUCAUAGAUAUUUAUGUUAGCACCAAAUUUCUGUGCAAUGAACCUCCCUAUAUAUCAGUAAUUUUGCAUUUGUCUAUAAUAUCAUAAUAAAUUACUUAUCAGUUGAAUUACUGGGAUUAAGUAUGUGCACACUUUAUAUUUAUAUUUUGAAAAUUAUUGCAAGAUUGCCUUCAAAAAUGUGGUUAACAACUUUAUCUUCAAAUGGCAAUGAAUGAGAUUGCCAGCUUUCCUACAGCCUCACAGACAAUGGAUUUUAUAAAUAUUUAACAUUUUUGCCAAUGUGAUCACCCAAACUAUUGUCUUAAAUUGUAUCUCUUUUGUUUUUGAGUUUGGUCAUUUUUUCAUGUUUAUUAGCCAUCUGUAUUUUUUAAUUUCUUCUUUAUGUCCAAUUUUGUGGGUGGGAGGAGGAUUUAGUCUCUUCCUGAUUUCGAAGAGCUCAUUUACUAUUUCGGGAAAUAAGAUUUGGAUUGUCAACCAUUAUAGCUAUUUUUUACACACUUUUCAACUUUGUUUUUGUUAUAAGAAUGUGUAUGAUUGUUACAUGUCCAAGUAUAACCAUGUUCGCUUUUAUGGCUUCUGAGUUUCAUGUCAUUUUUGGAAAGAUAUAUAUAUUGAGUCCAUAAAACCCUUCACCUAUGUUAAAUUCUAAUUCUUUUGUGUUUUUUUAAUUCAAAUUCUUAAAUCAUGAGAAAUUUUUUUGUUUUGAAAUCUUAAAGUUGCCAAGUUACUUGCCAUUACUUGCGAUUAUUUGCCAAUAAUUGCCCAUUUAUCUGUACCGCCAUCUUGCGCAUAUGCUGUACUCUCAUCUGUGACUGGCUCCAUUUUUGUUCUGUGGAUUUGUGUGUCUCUUCUUCUGCCUCCUGUCUCGUGUCUGCUCGUUGGAAGAAAUUACAGUUUAGACUGCAAUUUCAUCAACUUUAAUAAAUCAAUUGAGGGGAGAAUUGGUUUUUAAAAAUAUUAAGUAAGUCUUCGUAUCCAAGGACAAGGUAUGUCUUUUCUUAUUCAAUAAUUUUAAUUACUGUUAAUAUUUUCACUGUGGUGAUGGGAGUUUUUCUUUUAAUUUAUUUUCUUGUUCAUUUUUUGUAUCUAAAGUUUUUGUUUUGUUUUGUUUUGGGGGUAAGUUGUCACCUUACUGUUUCUUGUUGCUUUUCAGAUUUUUUCAAAGUAUAGACUAAAUCCUUCACAAAUAUUUAAAGUUUUUAUUUUCCCCCUUCAUAUUGAUCCUGAUUUUAGUUAUGUUGACAAAGUCCACAGACUGUUACUAUCAGAACACUUGAACAGUUAUGGAAAUAUUACCUACCCUUGAUUUAAUCAGAGUUUAAUGGUAUGCUUCUUUGGUUUGACUGGCACAUUGUCGCUGGUCAUUUCCUCCCAAAGACCACCAGAAAGAGCUAUGAUCAAGCAAAGCUGAGUUUGUUAAACUUACCUGCAGCAAGGGAAAACACCACCUUGAUAGGGUUUAAUAAUGUUUCAAAAUCAAGAAAUGAGGCUUUGGGGUCUGGGCAGGGAACUAAUUAGAAAUGGGCAAAAUUUGUCAUGCAAUACCUUGUGGGAAAGUGAGAUGAGGUUCUUAAUGUGAGUAUUGAUGGUGAAAUCAUUUUCUAGGUGAGCUGUUUGCCUAUAUAAAGAUGUUAUCAAUGACAGAAGAACUAUUUGCCUAGAUAAACAAACUGAAUUUAUUUAUUGGUUUACAGUUUUAUCUUGCUGGGCAGGACUCUGCUGGGGGUGGUAUCAGGUCUUAUUCCCAAUAGGUAAGUUAUUUGGAUAUGGGUGGUCUUAAUCAUCAAUGUGUAAAAUGCUGAUUUUAAGUGCGAAAUACUUUGUCUACCAUGUUAGGAAAGUCUGCCACCUUUUAUCUUUUUUAAGGAAUUUUAAUCAAAACCAGGUGGUAGAUAUAAUCAAAUUGUUUUGCAGAAUCAAUUUUCCUGUUCUCUUUAAAGACUUUUAUCACUGUGAAUUAAUUUACUAUUAUUGCAACUUCCUUUAAUUCCUUGAAUGAACAGACCCUACUGGUUUUAAAAAUGUUUUAUUCUUUUAAUUUACUACUUAAUUGUGGGUAUUUUAAUUUGAUUUGGAAUUUUUACAAGUAUACAACUAAGUGAAAUUGAUCUGUGAUUUUUCUUUUUUGUGCUAUUUUUGUCAUGUUUUGAUAUCAGAUAUUCUGGUUGUGUUAAAAUAAUUUUGAGGAUUUUCUUCUUAUACUGUGUUCUAGAGUGGGUAAAAAAGCCCUAGUCUCACUAUCAGUGUUUAAGUGAACACAUCAGUGACAUCAUCUGGACUCUCCUUUGUUUUUGCUGGUUUGGAGUUAGGACAUCUAGAAGUUUUUUUCUUUUUUUCCUUUUUUUGUAUGGUUAUUGCUUGUUCUUUGUUUUGUGUCAAAUUUAACCUGUUUUCUCUUAGCAAAUCACAGCUCAUGCAGAUUUUCAAACACAUUAGCCUUGUUAUACAAAGUGUUCUUUCAUCAUUCUAUUAAAUUUCCAUUUUCAUUCCAGUUAUAGUUAUUUCUGCUGUGCCUUUGUUAAUGAAUAAGUUUAAACAGUGGAUGUUUAGCAUCACUAGCCUUCCCCUUCCAUCUCCCUUAAUCAGGACCUUGGUAUAAUUUAUCAGGUAUUUUUUAAGGUUCUAAUUUACUUAUAUAUAUUGUUUCUGUAUUCUUUUGUUUCUUUUCUUAAUAAAUUCUUAAA
RNAcentral lists this long non-coding RNA (9815 nucleotides) under Homo sapiens (human). RNAcentral describes it as "small nucleolar RNA host gene 14". The stretch from base 1213 to 1308 matches the Rfam family "Small nucleolar RNA SNORD116". Lineage: Eukaryota; Metazoa; Chordata; Mammalia; Primates; Hominidae. The record is from RNAcentral.